This 22510-nucleotide long non-coding RNA is filed under the name Malus domestica (apple). RNAcentral describes it as "long non-coding RNA (MDOM_LNC006944)". Lineage: Eukaryota; Viridiplantae; Streptophyta; Magnoliopsida; Rosales; Rosaceae. The record is from RNAcentral.
AUAUUGAAUGCCAGCCUAGACUGCUCCCAACAUUUUAAUAGUUGCUAGUACGCUAGUUGCUAUCUGCCGUCACGAAGUUCCUGCAUUGAUCAAAGAUCUUUCUGCUGAUCCAUCUCUGUGAAUGUGAUAUGAUUGCGCCGGAUUGCUGUUGUUUGUUUUGGUCUAGAUUUGGAGUUUUGAUUAUUUGUUGUGGUUGAAAUGUUGGGAACAAAGUUUGGGAUUUAUGAGUUAUGGAAAAUGCUUUAAAACCCAGUUUUUAUCAUUGAAAUUUGACGAUAUGGGGUGGAGCCAGCGUAUCUUUAUUUGAUUGUAUGAGAUUUCACUUGUUGUUUGUAUGAUUGAAUCUCUAGGUUGUGUUUUCUUGUUUUCAGAUUGCAGGUAACUCUAGUAUUUCCAAUGGUAGUGUUGAUAUUGUGCAAUUAAAACAAAUCUUUGGUGUGUAUAAUCCUUUUAUAAGUGAAUGGUGCAUGGUUUUUAUGUGAUGGGUUGCUAAGUUUCUGCGGUUUUGGUCGUUUGGUAGUGGCAUUCGGUGUUAAUAGUGUUUUAAAUACUAAGUAUAUUGUUUAUGGAUGCCGGCAUUUCCUUUCUAUGAGAGGUUUUAUGAUGUUUGGCAUUAAUUUUUGCCUUGAGUUUAGUUAGCUUGUUCCCAUCUUGGUUAGCUGUUCUGUUAUUCAUAUGCGUGGCUGCGUGUUCUCUACUGAUAGCAAGAGUCCAUGUAAUCCCUCUGCAGUUAAUUUCCCCGUCUUCCAUUUUGAUUGUUGAAGAGAGUCUCUGACACGCCCCGAUUCCGAUAUCCUCGGGACAUCGGGAUGGUCAUGUGCUGGCCGACACCCGAGGGUGACGAAAGCCAUUUAUUGAGUGCAAUUGCUGAAAAUAAAGGAUAGAUAAAACUUAUAAAUGUAAAAUAAUAAGGAAUAUGCAUUUAAGGAACGUGUUCAGAGCAUACGACUAACUAGAAUACUAAAAGAAAUAAUAUAAAAUUGAAUGAAUAAAAUAAUGGGUCCCACACCAAGAGGACUCGAAGAUGCUGAUGCGGAAGUGCCUUGAUGCCGGAAUUGUAUGCCUCGAUUCUAAGUCCUGAAGGGGGCGCAAAACAAACAUGAGUAGACCAAGUUGAUAUAUAUAUAUAUAUAUAUAUAUAUAUAAUAAAACAGUUAUUAACGUACUAACCCCCAGGUUUUAUGAAAACACAUAGAUAAUGUUAAACAUAGGUUUUCCGAAACCUAGCAUGUCGUGCAAUGUCUCAAAUCAUAACUCAUAUAUAAUAAUCACUAGUGAAUUGUCCGAUAACCCCCAGGCCCCAUGCCGGCUCCCCGUCUCUGAGCAGACAGUCAGAGGAAAAUACAUUUCAGGCCCCAUGCCGGCUCCCUGUUCCUGUGCUAAAUAGCCAGAGGAAACACACUCCAGGCCCUAUGCCAACACCAAACCGUCGCCUGGGACGGACCGGAAUCUAUCCCUACAUCCCGUAGCGGAAAGGACCACUAGGUAAGUACAAAACCAUUGAACAUAUAUAUAUUGAAAAACAACUUUAUAGUAUAAAGUCAUCCAUCAUCUAUACUAUAAAGAGGUGUUCGAAACAUGUUCUAAAUAUCAUAUCGUCAUCCAUCAGAUAUUCUAUAAGAACACGGGUUAUAGGAAAAAUAGUAAUAAUUCAAAGUAGCCUCAGUAAGCAUGUUAUCUCACAAAACGUUUCAUAAAACGUAAUCAUCAAAUCAUGCUUUUCAUGUAUGCAUUUCUACUAUAAAACAUGCAUUUUAGAAGGUGUCCACUCACAGUACUUAGCCGCCGAAGAGCCACGCAAACUAACGAACAAGAAAACGUCACCAAUAAUUGCCCCUAAGCACGUAAAGGGUCCAAUUAAUAAAACUCUAUUUUAACAAUUGAAUUUGGGAAAACAGACGUUGGAAACAGAUUCAGAACGUCAAAUUACCCUAAGAAGGCUCCCGAAUAAAUUAUGUAAAAGUCAAUAGAAUAUUCCUAGAAUAUUCCCUGACGGAAUAUUCCCUAACGAAAUAUUCCCCAAAAAGGGUUUGAACCGGUUAAGGUUUAGGUUUAGGUUAAAGGGUUAAUGGGUUUAGGCUAAUGGGUUAGGGAAUUAGGUUGAUAAAAAGCCUAGGAUAAAUAUUUGGGUUUAAGGUUUUUAAACUAAAAGGGUUUUUGGCUUUAGGGAAUUGGGAUUAGGAUUUUAAGGAAAUGGGCUUAAAGCCCGGCCCCAAGGCCAAGGGCCUAAGGCCAUCUCUAACCGAGGGCUGGCCAGAGGGCUCGUUUUAGCCCUCUGGCCCUCCAAGAUUCUCCAAGAUAUUAAUAUUUUAAUGAACAGUACAUGAUCAUAUUUGCCUCCGUCUCCAACCGAGGGCCAAAGGGCCAGAGGGCUCGUUUUAGCCCUGUCACAAAAAACCGUCUCCAACCGAGGGCCAAAGGGCCAUAGGGCCAAACAUAAUUUAUUAUUUAAAAACUACAACUAAAAUGUUGUUUAAGUUUCAUGUUGUAUAAUUUUUAUGUUGGUUAAUGUUAUUUAAUGUUGUUUCAUAUUGUUUAAUGUUGUUUCAUGUUACUUAAUUUAAUUUAAUGUUGUAUAAUGGCUUAGGAAGUUAUAGGAAAAAAAUAGAAUUUAAAAUAAAUAUGAAACAAAUUUUGUCAAAUAGAAGUUAUAGGAAAAAAAAUGGAAUUUAAAAAAAAAAAUAUGAAACAAAUUUUGUGAAAUAGAAGUUAUAGGAAAAAAAUGGAAUUUAAAAAAAAAUAUGAACCAAAUUUUGUGAAAUAGAAGUUAUAGGAAAAAAUAGAAGUUAAAUGAAAAAUUUUGUAAAUAAAAAAUAAUAAUAAUAGUGUAAAAAAAAAAAUCAAAUCAAAUGCAACGGCUAGUAGCCGUUUCAUUUGAAUUUAAAAAAAAAAUCCUGUCGGUUAUAACCGACAGGAAUACACUAUUAUUUAGUAUAUUAAAUAAUAACAUGUAUUCCUGUCGAUUAUAACCGACAGGAAUAACAAAACUAUAAAAAAAAAUAGCCAGCCCGGGGCUGGCUGGCUGGCCGGAAGCAGCCAACCCUUUGGCCCUUUGAAAUUCCGUGGGGCCCUCCCAGAUUCUCGAGCCCUCUGGCCUAACCCUCGGUUGGAGACGGUUUUAGAGCUAUUUUCGGCCCUCUGGCACUCUGGACCAUUCGGUUGGAGAUGGCCUAAGGGAGAGAGAGACAGCAUGAAGGCUUUAAGCCUUUAAAGGCUUAGGUCUUUGGGGCUUCAACACAAACGGCCCAAAGGGCCAUUAACUUAAAACAAUUUAAUAAAACCAAAAAAAUAAGAAAACAGAAAUGGGUUUGGGUUGGGCUCCGCAGGAAAGGCCCAAAGAGCCUGGGUUUGGUGGGUCGCCGGACCCAAUGGGAGAGAGAGCCAGAAAUCGGCCGGAAAAUGCACAACCUUUAAACGGCCAUAACUUUAUCACUACUCAACGAAAUUAAGCGAGACAAAAACGAAAGUUGUAGCCCUUGAAGAGACGAAGAGAAUGGUACCUCACACGACAUCUAAAUCGCCGUGGUUUUGCCGGAAAAUACCUCGAAAGCCUCGGAGGUCGCCGGAAACUGGGUAAGAUUCAAAUGAGUAUAACGUCUUCAAUACUCAACGAAAUUGAGUGAAACAAAAAGGAAAAUUAUAGUACUCGAUGAGACGAAGAGAUUGAUACCUUGAACGCCGGCCAACUAGCAGUGGUUUGGCUGAAAUUAUCUCGAAAGUGACGGUGCUCGCCGGAAAAUUUGGAAAAGCUUUCCCGAGCUAUUUUCUGUAAUUCAAACGUAUACACAACUUAAAACAAGCUUCAAUCUAACCCUAAAACACAUCCCAAGGGUUUUUAGAAGCUUACCAACGUUGAAAAAUCCAGAAACUCAUCGGGGAAGACGAUGAACAGUACUGGCCAAAUGGAAGAGAAGGGUUUGGGGUGUUCUUUCUUCAAUUCUAAGCUCACUAGGGUGCUAAUGGAGAUGUUGAUGUUGUUGUGGUGUUGUUUGUUGGUAAGAAAAGCUCUUAGAGGAGCUGAGAUAGAGAGAGCCGAGAGAGAGAGAGUGAUGAGGGAGAGUGAGGGAGAAGAGAGAAAGAGGAAGACUUUCAGAAAAAUAAAAGAAAAAGCAAAGGGCACCGGGGGACAAAACAGGGGGUGGGCCCCUUGGGCACACCAUUUAAGACCCAAAAACCAUUUUAAAAGCAAGAUAGUUUCAAACUUAGUGAAAAUACAAUUUAAAUUAGGGGUGGGUGUAACAGUCUCUGCUGGAGUAUCUGUUGCUACAGCUACCAAGAUUCUAUUUGUCUCCUCCUGCACAGUUAAUCGCCACCUUUUCCACCUCGAAAGCCAUUUGCUGCGUUCAGAUUUGAUUCCCACGUCAAUUGUUCACAAACAUGUCACUUGAAAGUAUAGGCAUUAUUGUUUGGUUCAAUAUGGCCUUCUCACCGUGUUCUAAAGGUCGAUGUGAUUACUUGUUCAUAUGAGUAUUUGAAUUGACCAUAUUUUCGAGUUAACUAUAUCAAAAGUAUUGCAUGUUGUGGCUUGUUUAGGAGGAAGUUUAGCCAGAAUCAGCCCGUAUGUCUACUAAUUCAGUUUAUGACUGAGGUAUUCAAGUUCUGGACAAGAAGAGAACACAAUAGUGUGAGAUGAAGUUUUAGCAUUCCAAGCUCUGGCAACGUCCUUUGACAUGCUCUGAAUUGUGUAAAAUAAGUAAAGAAUGAUAUGUAGGACCUAGAGUGACAUGUAGUGCUUAAUAAAAACAAAAAGGCCAAUUUUGUAUUGAUAUUUGAAAUAAUCAAGAGAUAUGACACUGCAUUUGCUUAUUAUUUUCUUAAAAUGACAAUGUAUCAAAACACCACACACACUCUCUCUCUCAUCAAUGGAACGUAGUAAUGAGGAAUACGGAAAAUAAAUGGAUGAGAUUGAAAAUACAGUUCUGCAAAUCAACUCUAAAGGUUAAAACACGAGUCAUUGAAUGCUAUGUAGUAUUGAAGCCGAACUUCAAAUGCAUAGGUUUUUAGCAAGUGAUUUGAAAAAGGAAGGGGUUCUUUCUUUAUGGAAAUUAUCAUUGGCCACUCCAAAAAAUUUAUUGUGCACCCUUUGUAAGUGUAUUUUUAAAUCUAAAUAUAAAAAGUUUGGACAUUUAAACUUUUGAAGUGCUAAUAACAAUUCAUUUUCUUAUUUGAGUAGUGUUGAUCAUGUCAAUUUUAUCCUUUGCAUUCAACUUUUCCAUUGUAAGUAAAAAUGAGUGUUGAAUUUAAUGGAGCUUCCUACAUUGGGAAAGUGACGCUGAACAUAGACGAGGGACAUACACAGAUACACUCCCAAAAAAGUACACUAAAGAAUGAGUAUAUGGUUCCAAACAGGAUCAUGAAAUACCACUCCCACCUCUUUUGCAUUCAUGACUUUUUGAUUUGUUUAAAAUUAAUUUACGUGUUAUAACAUAAAUAUACGACAAAUUUAGGAGAUCAUUUAAGGCUAAAAGUCACAAGUGGUUCAUGUGGUUUGCGUUUAAGUGUUGCCUUUAAGUUGUGGCCUCAAUUUCGUCACUUAUACCAUUGAGGUUUACUUCUGAUACCAAUUUUGGUCUAUUCUAUUGAUCAAUUUUCGUCAACUAGUGUAACAAGAUGUUCAUGUUGGCUUCACGUGUAGGAGUAUUAUACUUUUCUUGUAUUCAAUUUCACUUAAUCGUUGAAAGGUGCAAGCUCAAGUUUUAGAACACGAUAUUUUGAGUAAGAUUAGGCACUUGCAACCAAGUUUUUUCAAGUGUAUUUUGAGCGAAAUUAGCAUUUACUCCAAUUGGUUAAGUGAGAUUGUACACCAAAAAGAUUAUGCAUGGGCAAUACUUGGUAUGCCAAGUUAAAUUAAUGUUACAAGUAAUCGCAUGUUUGGUUGCUUCUCUAAAAACACUUGGGUUCAUAACCAUUUUUUCAUGAAGCAUGGGCUUCUAUGAGUCAUAAGCGCUUCUAAGUUUUUAUACCAAAUUGUUUGGACCCGAUUUUACACCAUUGGCCCGAGUAAUCGAGGCCGUUGAGUGAGCAUGGUUCUCAACCGUCGGAUGGAAAAAUGAAGAUAUUUUUGCUAAAGGAUAAUAUUAUGGAUUUUAUCAUAAUAAUUAUUUUCUUGGCAUCUUCUUAAACCAGAUAACUAGGAUGCGAUUUAUAUCUCAAAUAGGAGGUAGAUUCUCUGCCCUCCCACUUCCCGUGCCUUCCUGUUUUGUGUGGUCACGGUUAAGCCACGUCAACAUUUUAUAUUAUUUUUUUUAUAGAGAUAAUAAGACAAAAAGGAAUAGUAAUAUAAAAUGUUGACGUAGCUUAACCGUGACCACACAAACAGGAGGGCACUGGAAUGCAGAGAAUCUGCCUCCUCUCAAAUAAAGCAAUAUAGUUUGAAUUGAUUUGGGAUGUCUGACGGCACUUGGAAGCUUAAAAUGAAUUUGAAAUUCAUUUGAUCAGAAUGCAUGCACGACAAUAAAGAUGAUGGCUUUUGGUGAUGAUGUGAGGAUGAGAUGAGAAACCUAGGUAGGCUAGGUUUUUAAUGCAUGGUGAUGGUGUUGUCAGAUUGAGUACAAGGCCAUAAGAAUUGAUGAUGGGAUUGGGCCAUAUAGUCUGCAUGCCGUGUGGACUGGGCUAACUAUAUAUAUAUAUAAUAAUUGGUGGCUAUUUAUUUGUUCAUCUCCAAGCAUGCGGAUUAUUUGGGGAUUUGAUGUGAUAACUGAUAAGACUAAACACAAGGAUCAGAUUUGGUUGUAUUUUUGGCUAAGUUCAGAGUCUUGGGGGGAGUAAGGCUUAUUCGAGGCUCAAAUCAGUGGAAGAGUUCUAAUAACAUGGUAGUCUUUACUAGCUUAUCAACCAGCGCAUACUCAUCCCUAUAAAUACAAGGCUACAAACAACGGAAAAGUCCUCUCCAAAUCAACACACAAACUGCCCUACACAAACUCUAGCUCUACGCGAAACCUCUCAAUAACCUUGAGAUUUUUAUUUUCUUUUUCGCCGACACAUCUUCAGUAUAGAUAAACAGCACUGUGAAGGCUGUUGGGUUUUUUCCAGCCCAUGAUUAAUUGUCCUAAGUCCAUUGGGAAUUAAUAGUCUUAGAGGAUUAAAUUGUUUUCCCAAUUGGAGUUGUUUUCCCAAUUGGAGUUAGUUUCUCAAUUGGAGUAGGAUUCAUAACUAGAUUCCAAUUAGGAUUAAUAAUCCUUAUUGAAGAAGACCUUUAUUAUGUCUAUAUAAGGGGGCUAUUGUACUAGUUUUGAGGGGGGAGCAAAACAAUAAAUUGUAUACCACUCAAGGGAUUAGAGUGAGAUAAUAUUGUAAAGUGUGUGCGAGAGAAAAGAAAAGAGAUAUUGUAUUUCUUGUUCUUGUUCUUUCAGGUUUUUCGUCAAGUCCUAGUUCUAGAGAUUUGGCAAGAUUAUUGGUUGUACUCAUUAUUGAUAUAGUAAAAGAUUGUUGCUGCUGUCCCAUGGACGUAGGCACAUAUUGCCGAACCACGUAAGUUCUUGGUGUUAUUUAUCUUGGUUAUUUGUUUUUCGAUUUCCGGAGUUUGUUCUUGUUUUUCCCAUUCUUAAACGCAAUAUUCUCAACAAGUGGUAUCAGAGCAUGGUUUGUCUGAUAUCUGUUUAGAAUGGAGGGUGCAACCCGCUUUAAUUGGGUUACAUGGAAAUCAAGAGGAGGACAUGCUUUACUGAAGGUGUUAAGAGCAAGCCAACAAGUAUGUUUGAUGCUAAUUGGACCAAGAUGAAGAUAAGCGAUGUUUUCUGGCAAAGAAGUCUAUAAUUUCCUUUGCCAAUGACGAUGGUAGUUUUUAUUAGGGGGAGCCUUGGUCAAGAGAAGUCUAAUCAAGAGGGUCUUGGUUAAUGAGUAGUUCGAUCAGGGGGAGCUUGGUUAUGGGUAAUUCGAUCAAGGGGAGUCUGGUCAUGAAAAGUUCGAUCAAUGGGAGUUUGGUCAAGAUGAGCAAUCCUAUUAUGGUAUACCUUCCUCAUGGUCUGGAGGGGGAGAUUGUUGGAUUUUUUCCAGCCCAUGAUUAGUUGUCCUAAGUCUAUUGGGAAUUAAUAGUCUUAGAGGAUUAAAUUGUUUUCCCAAUUGGAGUUGUUUACCCAAUUAGAGUUAGUUUCUCAAUUGAAGUAGGAUUCAUAACUAGAUUCCAAUUAAGAUUAAUAAUCCUUAGUGAAGAAGACCUUUAUUAUGUCUAUAUAAAAGGGCUAUUGUACUAGUUUUGAGGGGGAGCAAAACAAUAAAUUGUAUACCACUCAAGGGAUUAGAGUGAGAGAAUAUUGUAAAGUGUGUGCGAGAGAAAAGAAAAGAGAUAUUGUAUUUCUUGUUCUUGUUCUUUCAGGUUUUUCGUCAAGUCCUAGUUCUAGAGAUUUGGCAAGAUUAUUGGUUGUACUCAUUAUUGAUAUAGUGAAAGAUUGUUGUUGCUGUCCCGUGGACGUAGGCACAUAUUGCCGAACCACGUAAGUUCUUGGUGUUAUUUAUCUUGGUUAUUUGUUUUUCGAUUUCCGGAGUUUGUUCUUGCUUUUCCCAUUCUUAAACGCGAUAUUCUCAACAAAGGCAACCGACGAACACCUUCAAUUUGGAUAAAUAGCACUGUUGCCGUAUAAUCAACCGACCACGGAGCACCUUUAGUUUGGAUAAACAACAUUGCGUCGAGGCCGACUGGUUAUCUAUCCAAGUCUCGGUCAAGAAGGGUUUUCAAAUCCUUAUUGGCAGAGAUCAUCUCACUAGCCUUCUCGGCGAGGUGAGGUGUUACAAGUUACUGGGCUCGGCACAUUGAACGUCAAGUUGUUUUAUGAUUGGAUAUUUGCAAGUGAGUUUUAGAGUUCGGCAUUUUGACUGUCGAACCACAUUCACCAUCAAGACAUACAUCUCUUUUGAGUACUUGUGUCCGUAUACUCUGGUGUCGAUUCGGCGUGCUUGUACUCUUACGAAUAUAAUCACUGUGACCGAAUCCGGUGCCAAUGAUUUGUGAACUUCGUAGAAAUAGUAGCCUUGUCUUAAGGCUCUAGAACCUAAAGGCCAAGACGUGUUCCUUCCUCGGCCGCAGUCGCAAGAUCGAGCAGCUCGCCCAAUGCCGCAUCCACACAUUUUACUCACCGGCCGAGCUCGACCGUCGAGUUGGCACGCCCCGCACAUAACCAAAUGAUGUAGUUAGCUUAUUAGUUACUCGGCCUACGCGCCACGCAGACUUGGUAGUUUUUAGGAUCAACACAAACACAAUCAGAAAACAUUUUUAUCCCUUCCAACGAUAAUCUCAAAAAAAAUCAUAUCGCGACAAUUUGAAUAAAGCACAUGUUAUAAUAUGGAAUUAUGGAUAGGUCUAAAGAUCAUGCCCAUAUCGAAAAAUUCUCAUUUAUUUGGCAUUUGAAAAAUUACAAUAUUAUAUACUACCGCCCAAUGAUAUAGCUUAUUUUGUUGUGUUAACCACUGAUUAAUAAACAAAUGGUUGACAAAUCUUCUCAUAAAGAAGUUAUAAUUUAAUCUGAAAGACGUGUUCUUUUUUCCAAUUUUUCCAAAAAAAGCACAAUCAAAUGACCGCCCCACUCAAUUUGUUUAAGUGGCUAAGAUAAGAGUGUUCUCGAAACCUACUGAGGAGUGGCACUGGUUGACCUAGCGAUAUAAUUUGGGUUUUAGUGUUGCAAACUGCAUCAUCUUUUCCACUGUGUUUCAAUAUAUAAUUUCCAAAAUUAAAUAAAUAAAAAGAAUACAAGUAAAUUCCAUAACAUCUACAUCUACAUAUAAUUAUAUUUCGUAUUUAUAUUAUAAUCUGCAUGUGUAAUAUAAUAGAGGGAAUCAAUGUCGUGGGAGAAGGGCAAGCAACUGAAAAAGCUUGAGAUGAAAAUAGUUUACAUUCUUCAUUUUAUUAAUUUGUUAUUAAAUUAUCAUUUGAAAAUUACAUCUUAAGACUUAAGUUGUACUGAAAAAUGUUAGGCUUAUGUCAACUAGGGUAUAAUAGUUCCGUCACUAUCGACUAAACCGUCUGAGAAGUGACUAAGGGGAGGGAGGUUGGGUUAAGCCACACAAUAGGCAACCUAAUUUGGUAUCGAAUUCGUCAUCUAUGAGAUUCGAACUUAAUACCUUUCACUUACAAGUGAAGAGGAUUACCACCAGAUUGUAAUUUAGGGUACUUGAAUUAAGUAAAUCAAAAGACAGAGAAAAGUUUGCAACAGAAAAAAAGAAGCAUGUGAAAAUCACUUAAAACGGUUUCACUUGAAUAAUUAUAGCAUAGACUUGCAGAUUUCAUUUUGUCUACUUCGGAUUGUUUUGAGCGAUUUGAGGUGCAUAUGAUUUUAUUCAAACACCCUAACUUGUUAAGAAUUUUUGUUAAUUAAUCGGAAUUUGGUUGUUCGUCUUUUUAUUGUAUCUUGCUUAAUGAUUAUUAAUAAAGUUUUUCUCUUAUGCCGUGGAUCUCUAAAAACAAUUAUAAGUAAUAUAUCUGUUGAACAAAUUAGCUUGUCAAAUACUGUACUAACUUUCCUAAACAUUGUUAGAAAAAAGACGUCCAAAUCUUGUGGAAAAUGAUUCGUAGGCAUAAGGACAGUAAAACAGGUGGUUCAUUUACAAAUUUCGUCAUAACAACAAAUAAUGCUGGAAAAUUAUGAACCAUACAAACAAUGAAGAGAAUUAGGCCAACACAACAAUGGAAGCGUGUCAUGCAGUGCAACAAGCAGCAACAAUUCCAAAUCUUUUUCAUUCGUGUGGGUCACCAAACUUUGUUGUUUUGCUUCAUCUGCAGAUGAACUGUCAACUAUAGGGAGUUUCUGAUUUAGGAGCAAUGAACGGUGACAAUUAUGGGAAAAAUAUACUACAAAAAAUAAUCUACUUAUACGCAAUUUGUCAAUUAGAUUAAUGAUUUUGCUUGAUUAUUUUUCCCUUGAAGUUUAAUAUUAAAAGCCUUGAUUUAAUACUUUGUUGUUUCAAAAUGUUGAAUUUAAAUCUCAAACCUUAGUGGCUAAAUAUGAUGACUUAAUUGUGAAUUUUCUACACUAUCACAUGAUGUUAUUAAUCUCAUAAUACUAUAUUAUAUGUGUGUUUAAUUAUUAUACCAUAGUUUAAGUCCAUCAAAUCUUGAUCACGUUGCUCAAUAAUUUUAUAUACCAUGUAAAAAAAAAAAAAAUCCAAAUGUAACGAUCAAACAAUUCAAAGGUCUAGUGGAAACAAAAUUCCCAAGGUCAAUGGUGGUGGAGUGGUGGCUAAUCCAUCCACAUGGUACACGAAUACACGUAAAAAUGAGCAUUAGAGUCUUGUAGAUUGAAUUUGCCAAUAUGGCUUUGUUUUUACAUGAGUUAUGGAAAACAAUACGACACAGAUGGAUGGUUUGAAACCUAAUAAUUUGAAAUUCAAGGAUCACGAUGCAGACCAAAUUACUGGAUGAGGAUCCCAUCCGGAUCCAAAUGGUGGGGAUCCUAGGGAUCCUCACAUCCUAGUCGUUCAUCAUAUAUCGUGCUGUCAGAAAUCAUUUGAAUUUUAUUAUUUAAAAUUAAACAUAAAUAGUACCUGAUGAAAACUAACCGCACGAUAUACGAUGAACGGCUAGGAUGUAAGGAUCCCUAAGAUCCCCACCAUUUGGAUUCGGAUGGGAUCCUCAUCCCAAAUUAUAGUGUUGGUCGUGCAUGAAUUCAUCGGCCUGAAAUGUAUAGAAGUUAAGGAAAACUAAUGAAAAUGAAUAAAUGGUAAAAUGAAUAGUAUCAUGAUUGACUUUUUAAUGUAAAAAUAUAAUUUUUCAUUAAAAUGUACUAAGAGUUUUUCAUUAAAAUUCCUUGGAAAUUACAUAUUAAUUUGAUUUUGACUGUCACCAACAAAAAGCAGACAUUCAUUCAUAUAUGCAUGUCGGCUUCAAUGCAUGAGAUUCUCGGCUAUGCAUUAUUCUAUACUUUUAUAAAUUUGGUUAUGUGUGAACUAUUUUGGUAUUUUUUAUUGGAAAGGGAUCCUUUCCGAAUCCAUUCCACAUAAUCCACCAAGAUCACAAAUUCGGACUCUUGAAAUUUGAUCCAACGGCUAAAGUUAUUAUAACUUUUUAUGGGCUGUUGGAUCAAAUUUCAAUUGUCUGGAUUUGUGGACUUGUAGGAUUAGAUGGAAGGGAUCCGAGAUCCCUUUCCCUUUUUCUUUAACCUAGAGACGUAUAAAUGAUUUGAUCAUUUAUUUUGAAGAAGUGGACGUUCCACCAUAAAAUGAAUUGGCUAUAGAGAGUACCCGAACCUCAAGCCUUUGCAAGAUUUCUCAUUUCACCGAUAUGAGACUUUUUUACUUUUACAUCCUCACACACCUCCUCAUGUGUGGCGAAUGUUCAAGCCAAACACAUGAAUAACACAAACUGAAUGACGUGGAGCAUGUGUGGCCGUUGUGCUUCACACUUGGGCCAAUUUAGCUCUGUUACUACGAAGAAAGUUGAGAUUUCACUAUAAAACGAAUUGGCUAUGUGGAGUAGCCCAACCUCAAGCCCUUGCAAGAUUUCUCCUUUUCACUGAUGUGUGAAUUUUUUACCUUCACAUUCUCACAUGUUUUUCUUUUAUCAUGUCAUUACUUUUUUUUUUCUUAAUCUCCAUCCCUAAAACAUUUUUAGGGUUGGUUUGAUAGUACCAUUUUCUAAAUAUUUUUUUUUGUUAUAAAAGAAGGGAAUGAAAAAGUACACAAAAAGUAAAUAAAUAAAUAAAUGAAAAAUAAAAAAUUGAAUGUCCGUUUGAUACCAAGUUCGCUUUUAAUUUUAGUUUUUGUGAGAGAGAUACAGAAAAAGUAAAUGGGAGAAAAUGAGAAUGAAAAACGUUUUUGUUUUUGGGUCAAGAGAAUGAAUAACGGUUAGGGAAUGAUGAUAAAAAAAAUGUGUAUGAAUUGAUUCACAAAAUAAAAACUAAAAACCAAGCAAGCUUGUCUUAACUUUCAAAUAUUAGUAUUCACAUAAUCUCUUCUUAAAUCUCCCUCCUCCCUCCCGCCACCUCUCUUUGCCCUUUUCAAUUCCUUAAGUUCUCCCAUAUAUACAUGUUGACCCUAGAAACUACCAAGCCUACGUGGCGCGCAGGCCGAGUAAUCUAUAAGCUAACUACGUCCUUCGGUGAAUGCGGGGCGUGCCAACUCGUCGGCCGAGCUUGGCCGAGGAGUAAAUUUUGUUGAUGUUGCGUUGGGUGCGCGGCUGACUUCUGCGUCUUGCGAUUGCGGCCGAGAAAGGAACACGUCUCGGCCUCUUGGGCUCUCGAACCUGAAGACAAGGUUACUAUUCUUACGAAGUUCAAUAUCAAAUUCGGCUCUCAAUGUGCCGAAUGUAAUAACUGUAACACCUCACUUUGCCGAGAAGGCUGAUGAGAUGACCUCGACCAAAAAGGAUUCAGAAAUCCUUCUCGACCGAGCCUUGGAUAGGUAAUCAACCGUCCUCGCCGUAGUGCUGUUGAUGCCAACGGAAGAUGCUGCGAGAUCGGCUGACUCUACGGUGACAGAGCUAUCUAUGCUGACUUAAGAUAUCACCGGUUGCUUUCACAGUGCUGUUGAUGCCAACGGAAGAUGUGUCAGCGAAAAGAGAAAAUAAAAAUCUCAGUUGUUGAGAGAGUUUGCGCAGGGCAGUUGUGUGUUGAAUUAGAGGUCUUUUGAACGUUGCCGGCGACUCUGUAUUUAUAGUGACGAAUACGCACUGGUUGAUAAGCUGAAAAAGACUCCCAAACAAUUAAAACUCAUCUUAUCGAAUCCAAGAUAAUCUGCAAGCUUGGGUAACGUCCAUCUAAUCAACCACCCAAUAUAUAUAUAUAUAUGGCUGAUAGCUUUUGACACGGCAUACAUGCCAUGUCCAUCAUCAAUUUACUUCAUCCAACAACACCCCUUAGGUCUCCUACCUCAUCCUCACCUCAUCCACAAUAGCCAUCAUCAUUCUGAUCAAACGAAUUUUAAAUUCAUCUUACUUCCCAGUGUUGACAGACAUCCCAAAUCAAUUCGAAUUGUACUGCUUAUUCGGGAUAUGAAUCGCAUUCUAUUUAUCUGGUUUAAGAAGAUACCGAGAUAAUUCAUAUUAAAAGAUAAUUAUAAUAUUAUCCUUUAAUAAUCAAAUUAUCUCUACUUUCUCAUCUAGCGGUCGAGAAUCAUGCCCACUCAACGGCCUCGAUCGCUUGGGCCGAUGAUGUAAAAUCGGGUCCAAACAAUACCUGAUUAUUAUCCAUUAUUUCUCUUAUAUGUAAUGGUUUCAAAAGGGCUUGAACUCUUUUAGGGUUUGUUUGAUAUGAUUUCAUUUUUAGUUUUCUUUUGAUAGAGAUAAAGAUAAUGCAUAUGAAAGAACGAAGAUCGAAGAAGAAUAGAUGAAGGAAAUGAAGGAUAAUGUAGGAAACAAAACCUAAUAAAAUUUGUUUUAGUUUUCGGUUGGUGUAAUCUUUCAUGUACAUUUCUUUUACUUCCUUCCAACCAUUGCUCAUGCAUUUUUUUUCUCCCAUCAAAUUUACUCUCUAUUAUCAAUAAAAUAGUAAAAGCUAUAAACUCAAAACGAAAGGAUUACCCGACGGCGUUCUGGCAUUCUCCCUGUCAAUUUUAUAAUACAAGCGAUAAGGAAAAAUACUCUCACCCACUAAUAUUACAACUCCAUAGGGGACAAAAUUUUAAUUAUUUACUUCCUCAAAUCUAACUUUGACGGAUUUAAUUUGAUCAUUUUACCAAUCUGUCCAUCAAUUUGCAAUAAACAAAAAGGUCGUGUAACCCCUCUGGACGGUUCAAAGUACUUAACCCAUCAAGGGACACAUUGCGAAGUACUUAAACAUUCUCGUUCCUCAGUCCAAGAAAACCAUUCCAAUUUCAUGAUGAGUAGGUCUCUAUAAAUUUUUGAUCAAAUUAUUUUUCAACGGCUCUGAUUUUCUGAUUUACUUACUUGGUAUCCAACUCUGAGUGGACCCAUCAUGGCACUGGGCCCCGGAUUUUGCCCUACAUUACAAAGUGCAGCAUAAACAUCCAAAUAGUUGCCAACCCCUUCUCAUUAGACCAAAUCCAACUCUGGGCUAAAUGCUAUUUUUUAGGUUUUAUUUCCCCUCCCCAAACCCAACCCAAUCCAUGUUAAAUGUGUGGACUAAAAUUAAAAGCCAAAUUUCCUCUAGGAUUUAGCCCAGAAAAUGGUGUGGGCACCACCAGCGGGACCCCACCCACUUGGGCAUGUCUCACAUGAUUUAUUGAAUCCAACGACUGAAAUCGAAUAUAAACAAAUCUAACGGUAAAAAAAAGAUCUAACGGCCCAAAUUAAAUCCAACUGCUAAAAUAAUUAAAAACAUUAUUUAACUCAAAAUUCACCCAAAUUUAGUGAUUUUUCAAUAUUUAUUGGAAUUCAAAUAUUUUUAGAUUAAAAUGCUCAUAAAAUAAAAUUAUGAUAGUGUACAUAUAUUUUUUUAAUUACUUUAAAAUAAAAAAUUAGCCUAAAUUUAUUCUUUAAUAAUCUCAGACUAAAACAUUUAGGUCAGAAGGUUGGAGCAGAAAAACUGUUUCUAGGCUAAAAAUUUUAGGUUUUAGCCCAAGGGUUGAAGAUGGUCUUAUAGAUAUAACUUAAUAUAAUGAUAACAGUAAUAAUUUACACCUUAUUAAAACUAAAUUGGUAAGAAAAAAAAAAGUUUUCUUUUGCAAGUAGCUCUUUACCAUAAUGGUGAAAAUGUGUUCAGCUCUUGCAUGAUGGCAUAUGUUUGUUCCCGUUGAUAGCUAAUUUAACAUUUAAUCUAUUGUUUGACAAAAAAAAAAGUUAGUAAAAUUAGUUGAAUUAAAAAGAAAACGAAAAUGCAAAUCCGCUUGGGUGACGAGUUUAUACCUAAUUAUUAUGAAAUAUAAAUGGCUUAUUGUUCGUGUUUAGUUAAAUUUCUAUGCUUCGAACAUCAUCAUAUCAAAUGAAAAGAAUGAAACACAGGCUGCCAUGUGAUCAAGUUAGUCAAGAAUCCUCUUUUACACUGUAGUUCGAAUUCUCCGUCCUCGCCUUAUUAUUGACCCUAAAUUAAAAUAUCGCUUCGAUAGAAAAGAAAAACCGAAAAUAAAAAUACAUAUCCCACAAAAUGAAAUGAUACAAAUUGAUAAUUGUUUCUGUAUAAGCCAGAAAACUGUGGUAAAAAGCCAAAUACAUUCUUCUGACUGUUAAAUCUCCGCCCUUCCUUCCUUAUCACACCCAUCUCUCUCCAUAUCUUCUAUUGUUCCUUCUCCGCCUUUUUUUUCCUCCUUCAUUCCCCCAUUAUCUUCCAUUGUUCUUCUUCUUCUCCUCGUUAUCCAAAACUCUCAACCUCCAAACUUAGAGAGAGAAACUGAUAUAUAGAGAGAGAAAGAAAGAGCAAGCUUUCCUCCAUAUCUUCUUCUGCAUAAUUAUGGUUUUCUACAUGCAUGGUUAUUAAUUGGUGCAACAAGCUACUCGUUUUCAACACAUAAAAAAAAAAAAAAAAAAAAAAAAGACUUCCUCUUUCUUUCCAAAUACUUGGUAAAUGUUCAAAGUCCUACAAACGUUCAAAGUUUUCAGUGUUUUCUUUAAUUACAUAUUUUUUACUUAAUCUUCACUUUAGCUAUAUAUUUUUGUGCUAACUUUAUAAGUUUAUGGAUUACUAAUUUGUGGUUAGUAUUGCCUUAUGCUUUAAACUUUAUCCUAGUUUUUUACAAUCUUAUUAACAAAGGUUUAAUGAACUAAAUUUCUUCAUAUAUACGUUUAGGAGGGUAAUUAAGCAAAUUCAAGUGCUUAAGCUCAUUCAUUCAAGAACAAGCUGCAAAAAUGGGGCCCAGAAACAGCCGUGGAAAGGGAAAAGGAGACAAGAAGAAGAAAGAAGAGAAGGGUAUUUAUCAUUAUUUUAUAUUUCUUAUUCAAAUUGCUAAAUUCGGUUACUUAAGCACCAAUUGAGAUAACUAAUAAAUCUCUUGUGUCUUUUUUUCUUGCUCUGCAGUUCUUCCUGUUGUUAUGGACAUCACUGUGAAACUUCCUGAUGAAAGCAGUGUCAUUUUGAAGGUUGUUGGAUUAUAAUUUUUUUUUAAUUUAGAAAAAAACUGGAUAAACGCCUAAAUCUUUCUCUCUUUCUUGUUACUUGUAAUCUUUGGAAGACAACCACGUUUUGUUUGUGUUGCUUCUAAUUCACAUGGGAAUUUUGAAGGUUUCUUGCCGUAGUUGAAUUAUCCUAGUUUAAGUUUGAGCAGUGAUAUUGGUUGCCAUCGGCGGAAAGUAAGAAAUUUUUUAAUGGGUUAGGUACCUCAACUCGUCAAAAUUAGAGAAAAAUUUCUCAAAAAAGAUUCAAAAGUUUGAAAUGUGCUGGGACCAUUUGCAAUGGGUUCUAGCAAAUUGUCUGUGGUGAAAAAUAUCAUUGAUGUUCAUUGAAUUUUCUUAUAUCUCACCGAUAAAGGAUGAAGUUUUCAUUUCAUCAUCCUUUCCAUAUUGAUAAUUGAUUUUUCAGAUAUUGACGAAAAUAUAGACAAUUUCGCUGAUAUCUUAAUACUGAGUGUAAGACCAUAUGUUUGGAUUCGAAUAUGUACCAACUACUAAGUCUCCAAACUAAAUACUUUCACCCACUUUCCCAGGAUUGAAGUUAGUUUUUGAGGUCCAGAAUGUAAUGUGUUCAAGGAUAAAAGUUAUAUUACUUUCUAUGGAUUGAUGCAGCAUGUAUUAUAUUUACUGAUUACAUAUUUUAUACAAAAGUUGAUUUACUUAUGCAUUAGGAUAUUACCUAUGUAAAAUAACAAUAUGAUUUUGAGCAGGGAAUAUCGACGGAUAUGAUUAUUGAUGUUCGUCAGCUAUUAUCAGUAAAUACAGACACUUGUAGUAUUACUAAUUUUUCACUAUCUCAUGAGGUAAUUUCCAUUACCCACAUUAUUUCUUCUUCUUUUUCUCAUUUUUAUUAUUUCAAAAUUUUGAUUUUCCCUUUUGUUUGACAAGGAAAUAAACGACCAUAAUGCUAUUGUCGUUCAUGACAGGUAAGAGGGCAUCGAUUAAAGGACGCGGUGGACGUCUCCGCACUCAAGCCAUGCGUCCUGACGUUGGUCGAAGGUAUUAGUCAAAAAGCAUCCGACGUCGUUUGUAUUACUUUUUAUGAUCCAUCUUUAUGGGCCGUAUGAACUGGACCGUUGAGGGCCCAUUGGGCCAGAGUGUCUGAACGUCGUCGUAUUAUGCUUCUUCUUCUUCCUCAGUCAAAUUUCUCACUGUGCUCUGUUUUUCUCAGAGGACUACGAUGAACAGCGCGCCACGGCGCACGUUAGACGAGUGCUCGACAUCGUUGCAUGCACGACGAGCUUCGAAGCGUCGUCUUUGCCGGCGAAGGACCAAAGCCCUAAGCUCGAUGCUUCUUCAACUGGCUCUGGUAAAAAUGCGCCGGGUGUGCAGGAUAAGAGCUUCAAGAAAUCCAACGCCACGGCCGCCGCAGCCAAGGCCACCAAGUCUCAAGUUUCUACCGGAACCGAUAAGCGAGACGUGGCGGUGGACUCCGAGACCGAGAUGAGCAACUCCUGCCUCAAGCUUGGUUCUUUCUACGACUUCUUCUCUCUCUCCCACCUCACACCCCCUUUGCAAUGUACUCUCUCUCCUCCCUCUCUUUCUCUCUACGUAUAUACAUAUUUGUGUAUAAUUGACGUAUUUAUUUGUGUAUUUAGAGGCAGAAAUUUUGAAUUUUUGCAAAAAUUGUGUGUAAAUGGUAUUAAUUUUGCAGUUGUUCGAAGGGCGGCGAAACGGCAAGUCGAUGAGAUUGAGGCGGAUGAUCACCUUUUUUCUCUUGAAGUAAGACCUUCUUCUGCACAGUCCACACGCACACAAUGACAAUUUAUUUAUUUUUGGGUCUGAUCAUCGAAAUACAUUGUUAUAUUGGCAAUUUUUCAGGUGAAGCUUUGCAAUGGGAAGGUGGUUCUCGUUGAAGCUUGCCGAAAGGGGUUUUAUAGCUUAGGGAAGCGGCGGAUUCUGUCACAACCUCGUCGAUUUGCUACGGCAGCUUAGCAGAGCCUUUGACAAUGUUAGAAAAGCUUUUGAGUUUCUGUAGUGAUUUUAAUUUAUUUUAGCUUUUUAUUUGUGUACUGAUUAUGUGUAUGUUUAAUUUCUCAUAUUUCAGGCUUAUGAUGAGCUCUUGAAAGCAUUUUCGGAACGGAAUAAGGUAUAGGAUCAUUCAUUAUGCUUUCUUGUAUGAGUUUGUGUUACCAUUUCUGUAUUUGAUAAUUUGUUUUCUUUGAUAUUUUUCAGUUUGGGAAUCUUCCUUAUGGGUUUAGAGCAAACACGUGGCUCGUACCGCCUGUUUCAGCUCAGUCGCCUUCAGUUUUCCCUGCUCUCCCCGUGGAGGAUGAAACUUGGGGCGGAAAUGGAGGUGGUCUAGGAAGAGAUGGGAAAUUUGAUCUAAUCCCCUGGGCUAAUGAGUUUUGGCAUAUUGCAUCCAUGCCUUGCAAGACAGCUGAGGAGAGGCAGAUUCGUGAUAGGAAGGCAUUCCUUCUUCACAGCCUAUUCGUCGAUGUUUCCAUUUGUAGAGCCAUUAAUGCUGUGCAGCGUGUAAUGGGAAAACCGGAAUUGACUUGUUCAAUUCCAAACAGUGAGAUUCUUUACUCCGAGGUUGUAGGGGACUUGAAUGUCACAGUUAUGAAAGAUGUUACUAAUGCAAGCUUUAAGGUAGAUACUAAAAUUGAUGGAAUUCAAGCAACUGGAGUGGAUAAAACGAAUCUAGCACAACGAAACCUUCUGAAAGGGAUCACUGCAGAUGAAAAUACUGCUGCCCACGUAAGUUAUUUCUGAAAUAGUAUUGUUGAUCCAUAAUCUUUGUCUCUACCUUAUGCAAUUUAUUUCGUAACUUUGGCGCAGUUGUGGUGAUUCUUGUUAAAUUAUGUGUGCAGGAUGUCAACACUCUAGGUGUUGUCAAUGUCAGAUAUUGUGGUUACAUUGCAGUUGUCAAAGUUGAGGGUAAAGAAAAUAAGAAAGUCGGUUCUCCAUCUCAGAGCAUUGUAUUUGUUGAUCAACCCGAAGGUGGUGCCAAUGCCGUUAAUAUCAACAGGUACGCAAUAAUGCCUCAGUGAGUAUUAUGUAAAGCUACCAACCUUUUGUCAUGGAGUUUGCAGUAUACGAGCCUAACUAGUGCCUUGUUCUUUGCAGUUUAAGAUUACUACUUCACAAGACAAUACCUUCAGAGCAGAAUAAACCGGCAUCACAUAUACAAACUCUGGAACACGAAGAUCUUUCAGCCUCGUGUGUUUUUGUUGAGGGGGUGUUAGAAGAAAGUCUUGCUAAGCUUGAGAAAGAGGAGCUAGAUUCUGAUAAUUUUGUGAGAUGGGAACUAGGAGCUUGCUGGAUACAACACUUGCAAGACCAAAAAAAUGCAGACAAAGAUAAGAAACCGUCAAACGAGAAGGGAAAAAAUGAUAUGAAGGUGGAGGGACUUGGGACGCCUCUUAAAUCCCUUAAGAACAGCAAGAAAAAAUCAGAUGGAGGCAAUACCAAGCUGCAAUCUGAAAGCUCAAAAUCCCAUGCAGAUGGUGGUGUUGCGGAAGCUGAAAAUACUAUAUCCCCUUCUGUGGAAUCAAAGCUUGAGACUAAUGCCAAAGAAAAUGAGCAUGUUCUGACAGAGAUAUUGUCUGAUGCUGCCUUUGCUCGACUAAAAGAUUCAGAAACUGGACUACACUGCAAGGUAAUACAUUAUAGGUGUCACUAGAGACUUUAGAUUUACUUAUUUGUACUUCACAUUGUGUACUAAUGUAUUGUGUGCUUGACAGUCUCUGCAAGAACUAAUCAACUUGUCUCAGAAGUACUACUCUGAAGUUGCUCUUCCCAAACUGGUAAACAUUUUUAUUCUUAAAGCUUGUUACCUUUUCUCAUGGAAGUAUUGUUAUGGUGAUUCUUGUUUCUAUAAAUUUUUCGUUUAAUGCAGGUAGCAGAUUUUGGUUCCUUGGAACUUUCACCAGUUGAUGGUCGGACCUUGACUGAUUUCAUGCAUACUAGAGGUCUUCGGAUGCGCUCUCUGGGGCAUGUUGUAAGUUUGCUUCUAACUUUCAUUUUUAACACGUGACACGUCUCAUAUUAUUCAUCUACCUAAGAACCAAUUACUUUUGUGUCCUCAACUUUGCUGGGUAUUUAUGUGGAGGAAUUUGUUAAUGUGGCUUUGAAGUAUGUAAUAGAAGGAACAAAAAAGAACCAAGAUCAUGGCAAUUUUCAGAAGAUCUCGAGUUAUCACUCUGUUUAUUAUGCAUUGAUGACUGUUAGACAGUGUUAACCUGUUACCAUUAUUUAUAGGGCAUCAAAGCUCUAUCUUCUUUUAUCACUUCACUUUUAGAAAAUAUUAACUUGCACUGCCUCUAAUCUCCAAACUGAAACUCUCAGAAUAUUUUGUAAUGCUGUGUAGAUGAUGUGCGGAAUUCAGCUUAAACAGGUUAUCAUAUUGAACGAAAUGCCUUUUCUUUCUUUACAGGUCAAGCUUUCGGAGAAGCUAUCUCAUGUGCAGUCCCUUUGCAUUCAUGAGAUGAUAGUGCGAGCUUUUAAGCACAUACUUCAGGCAGUGAUUGCCGCCGUUGGUAGCACUGAGAAGAUGGCUGUAUCAAUUGCUGCUGCAUUGAAUCUUAUGCUGGGCGUUUUGGAUAAUGAAGAAUUAAAUAGGUCUUGCAGUGUUCAUUCUCUUGUGCGGAAGUGGCUGGAGGUAUUCUUGCGAAAAAGAUACGGAUGGGAUCUUAACAGCUUCAACUAUGAAGAUGUGAGGAGAUUUGCAAUUCUGCGUGGAUUAUGUCACAAGGUAUAUAUCAUGACAAUGCAUAUUAGAUUCUGGAGAUGGCCCACAUUCUUGAAUACCGUCUUCGUAAGUUUACACUGUAACUUUUAUUAUAUACCAUAAUUUUAAAUUUGUGCUGACAUUUUGCUUUCUCUUCCCCCUACCCUCAACUCCACCCCCCAAUUAGGUGGGUGUUGAGAUGGUUCCAAGGGAUUUUGAUAUGGAUUCUCCAAAUCCGUUCCAAAGUUCAGAUAUCGUCAGCCUAGUCCCAGUGCAUAAGGUGACGUAUGGCAUUAGAAGCAUCUGUUUUCCUUUCCUUCGAUUUUUAGAAGUGGUAAGAGUGAUGACAUCUUUUGUAAUUUAACCUUUUCUUCUGAUAUUUUCAGCAAGCUGCUUGCUCUUCAGCAGAUGGUAGGCAACUCCUAGAAUCAUCAAAAACAGCUUUAGAUAAGGGAAAACUUGAAGAUGCAGUUGCAUUUGGCACUAAGGUAUGCAGACUGUUGCUAGAAGGUUUUCUUUCACCUUUUUAUAUUGGUAUUGUAGUUGGUUACAGGCUGAACUUUGACAUUUGCAGGCGCUUGCAAAGCUGGUAGCAGUUUGUGGUCCAUACCAUCGAAUGACAGCCGGAGCUUACAGCCUCCUUGCUGUAGUUUUAUAUCACACUGGAGACUUUAAUCAGGUCUGCUGCCAUCCCCUUUGUUUUGGCGUUUCUGGGACAUAUCUGACGUCAUAUAACUGUUACUUUCUGGAUCAACAUAGAUUUUAAAUUGAGGGAUUGGCUACAUCUGGUUUCAUAUUUCAAUUGUUAAAGGUGGACCGGAAUGUGCAAAAGUGGGCAAAAUAUUGAAAGUUAGUCUUUCUUUGGUAAAGGUUUUAUGUCGCGGAUGACCAAUGAUGUGCUCCCAUUACAGGCU